UGGGUGAUGCCGAGAAGGGUACGUGAUCUCCUCGCUUCUUGGAGAGGCAUUCGGGGCAACUCUCAAAUUGUAUCCAUAUGGAAGAUGGUACCAAUAUGUCUAUGGUGGUGCAUUUGGAGGAAGAGGAAUGCAAGAAGCUUUGAAGACCAAGAGUGGACAAUGGAUGC
Juglans microcarpa x Juglans regia is the source of this 167-nucleotide long non-coding RNA. RefSeq lists it as uncharacterized. The transcript has 3 exons. NCBI's taxonomy places the organism in Eukaryota, Viridiplantae, Streptophyta, Magnoliopsida, Fagales, Juglandaceae. The record is from RefSeq and is a predicted model, not a curated record.